RNAcentral lists this long non-coding RNA (849 nucleotides) under Equus caballus (horse). RNAcentral's name for it is "lncRNA (ENSECAG00000054346.1)". The record is from RNAcentral. Lineage: Eukaryota; Metazoa; Chordata; Mammalia; Perissodactyla; Equidae.
GCUUGUUUGCUGGCCGGUGCGCCUCGCAGCCAGCCCUGAGCCGGGUGUGACUGCCUCUGGGCCACCCGAUCCCGGCCGUGGGGCGCAGCUUCCAGGCUGGCGGCCCAGACACGCCAACUCCGCUGUGGUUCCUAGCCGAGAAUAAACCCCAUCCUGUUUCUCCUAUUCACAGAAAGUUAGUCAGAAACAGUCUUUUUGGUGUGGGGAGUGAAAAACCCCUACUAGCAGCAUAAAUGGGAGAGAAAGCUCGUGGCCUGUAGAAUCACAGAACACUGAGCCUCAGUGAACUGCACUGCCGCCGCCUGCUAUUUUCACACGCUCCCCAGCUGUCCCCCCCACCGCUGCCGCCGCCGCCAGCCCACCGAAGAAAAGGGACACACAUUUCUGGAAGAAUCUGGACCUGACCUAAAGCACAGUGUAGUUAAGCAGCUCUAGCUCCGUGUUCCGGACCCAGCAUCUGGGUGCCCUGACCUUGGACCCCACUGGAGAGACUUCCACACCAGGGGUGACCUGAAGCGUGCUGGGGAUACUCAGCAGAGGGAAGCCGACUCUUUCCAAGCCAACGAUAGUAAGAGAUACAUCGUGGAAAGUGUGCGUUGCUAACUGCAGUACCACUACCAGGGCCCAACGCAUGUUUCAAACAGCCGGUGUUGCAAAUGACCAGAGGAUGAGCCGCGGAAACCCUCCCAGCUUAAGCCCCUGUAGACUCUUCUUAAUUGGGGCAAUUUCAGGGUAAUCCCUCUUCUCUGCCUCUUCACACUGUCCCCAGUGUGAUUUAACCUAAAUUUCCUUCAAAGUUAGAGCUGCUACCACAUAUUUACAGGGUCAUCUCCCUGAAGCCUUCUGAAG